AAUUAAAAAUUUCAUCCAUUUUUACUGUUAAAAACUUAUGUAGUUGAUGGAAUAACUAGACAAUGACAUGUGUUGUGUCAGGUGUACCCCAUGCUGAAGUACAGAAAUCAAUUUUUAAUAGCAAAAAUAGAUAAAAAUUUUAACG
Gossypium hirsutum (cotton) is the source of this 145-nucleotide non-coding RNA. The record is from Rfam. NCBI's taxonomy places the organism in Eukaryota, Viridiplantae, Streptophyta, Magnoliopsida, Malvales, Malvaceae.